Saccostrea echinata is the source of this 491-nucleotide long non-coding RNA. RefSeq lists it as uncharacterized. Lineage: Eukaryota; Metazoa; Mollusca; Bivalvia; Ostreida; Ostreidae. The record is from RefSeq and is a predicted model, not a curated record. The transcript has 4 exons.
AUCGUCAACUUCAUGAACUUGUUAGACUUUUGGAACUUUUUAUGAUGUAACGACAAGAGAGAAGAAAACUGACAUUAAAGGAGAACCAGUAAGAUGUAUGAUGAAUCAAGAUGUGAUCUUGUGGGUCCUGUUCUGUGGAUGCCAUGAGAUGAUCUGUCUGUUCAUCUGAUAUCACUUGUCCUGAGUAUAUUUUCUCUCCUCAUAGCCCAAUCUCACUCAAAUUUAACUCAUAGAGUGCCUGUGGAUGGAGGGUAAAAAGUGACCUUGGACCAAUUAUCUAGGUCAAAGAUCGCAGAUGAUGUGAAGAAAAUAAGGAAGCUGAUGUUGAAAGAAGUAUAGAGUAUUUAAUGAAGUUUAUGAAUGGACUUAUAUAAUUAGAUGUGAAAGACUACUUCAUUGUUUACCAAGAUAUAUGAUUUUAUUUAUUUUGAUAUCAUUUUCAAAUAAUGUUUUUGCACAUCAAAUGAAUUAUUAAACAUAUGAUUUGAUAA